GAUGCAAGAGCCAUGUGGACUGUACAUUGCCUCCUUUAUAUCUUUUGCCACUUUUGGAACAGUCUAAAGGCUGCUCUAUAGAAUAUUCUAGAGACAAAACAAUUUACUAAGUAAUGGAAUUCAAUUACUCCCCAUUGCAUCCAUUGUAGCAAUUAAGCAAUAAACUUUUCCUAGUAACAUCCCUAAGAGAAUGAACACUCCACUUGUUUAGCACUUGCUGAAUUGCUUGUCUGUUUUUAUUUUUCCAGGCAAUGUAAAUCAAAGCGUCUCACAGGGCAAAUGGACUCUGAUCCACCAACUGCAUUUGCUGAGAAUAAAAUCCAGAGCCGCCUCCCGCCCUUUCUCUUUCCACUUUCAUAAUUUCGUCCUAAUCAAGGAUCAAAGGGGAACUGCAACUUUCUUCUCAGAAGGGCUCUUGCAAUUGUACUUCUUUCUGUUGAUUUGGGGGCACUUUCUCUUAAUCGUGAACACGGGUUACUCUACAAGAAUAAACAGAGCUAUAUCACGGA
Molecule: long non-coding RNA, 509 nt
Organism: Candoia aspera
Lineage: Eukaryota; Metazoa; Chordata; Lepidosauria; Squamata; Candoiidae
Exons: 2
Source: RefSeq, a predicted model, not a curated record